GGUUAAGCGACUAAGCGUACACGGUGGAUGCCCUGGCAGUCAGAGGCGAUGAAGGACGUGCUAAUCUGCGAUAAGCGUCGGUAAGGUGAUAUGAACCGUUAUAACCGGCGAUUUCCGAAUGGGGAAACCCAGUGUGUUUCGACACACUAUCAUUAACUGAAUCCAUAGGUUAAUGAGGCGAACCGGGGGAACUGAAACAUCUAAGUACCCCGAGGAAAAGAAAUCAACCGAGAUUCCCCCAGUAGCGGCGAGCGAACGGGGAGCAGCCCAGAGCCUGAAUCAGUGUGUGUGUUAGUGGAAGCGUCUGGAAAGGCGCGCGAUACAGGGUGACAGCCCCGUACACAAAAAUGCACAUGCUGUGAGCUCGAUGAGUAGGGCGGGACACGUGGUAUCCUGUCUGAAUAUGGGGGGACCAUCCUCCAAGGCUAAAUACUCCUGACUGACCGAUAGUGAACCAGUACCGUGAGGGAAAGGCGAAAAGAACCCCGGCGAGGGGAGUGAAAAAGAACCUGAAACCGUGUACGUACAAGCAGUGGGAGCACGCUUCGGCGUGUGACUGCGUACCUUUUGUAUAAUGGGUCAGCGACUUAUAUUCUGUAGCAAGGUUAACCGAAUAGGGGAGCCGAAGGGAAACCGAGUCUUAACUGGGCGUUAAGUUGCAGGGUAUAGACCCGAAACCCGGUGAUCUAGCCAUGGGCAGGUUGAAGGUUGGGUAACACUAACUGGAGGACCGAACCGACUAAUGUUGAAAAAUUAGCGGAUGACUUGUGGCUGGGGGUGAAAGGCCAAUCAAACCGGGAGAUAGCUGGUUCUCCCCGAAAGCUAUUUAGGUAGCGCCUCGUGAAUUCAUCUCCGGGGGUAGAGCACUGUUUCGGCAAGGGGGUCAUCCCGACUUACCAACCCGAUGCAAACUGCGAAUACCGGAGAAUGUUAUCACGGGAGACACACGGCGGGUGCUAACGUCCGUCGUGAAGAGGGAAACAACCCAGACCGCCAGCUAAGGUCCCAAAGUCAUGGUUAAGUGGGAAACGAUGUGGGAAGGCCCAGACAGCCAGGAUGUUGGCUUAGAAGCAGCCAUCAUUUAAAGAAAGCGUAAUAGCUCACUGGUCGAGUCGGCCUGCGCGGAAGAUGUAACGGGGCUAAACCAUGCACCGAAGCUGCGGCAGCGACGCUUAUGCGUUGUUGGGUAGGGGAGCGUUCUGUAAGCCUGCGAAGGUGUGCUGUGAGGCAUGCUGGAGGUAUCAGAAGUGCGAAUGCUGACAUAAGUAACGAUAAAGCGGGUGAAAAGCCCGCUCGCCGGAAGACCAAGGGUUCCUGUCCAACGUUAAUCGGGGCAGGGUGAGUCGACCCCUAAGGCGAGGCCGAAAGGCGUAGUCGAUGGGAAACAGGUUAAUAUUCCUGUACUUGGUGUUACUGCGAAGGGGGGACGGAGAAGGCUAUGUUGGCCGGGCGACGGUUGUCCCGGUUUAAGCGUGUAGGCUGGUUUUCCAGGCAAAUCCGGAAAAUCAAGGCUGAGGCGUGAUGACGAGGCACUACGGUGCUGAAGCAACAAAUGCCCUGCUUCCAGGAAAAGCCUCUAAGCAUCAGGUAACAUCAAAUCGUACCCCAAACCGACACAGGUGGUCAGGUAGAGAAUACCAAGGCGCUUGAGAGAACUCGGGUGAAGGAACUAGGCAAAAUGGUGCCGUAACUUCGGGAGAAGGCACGCUGAUAUGUAGGUGAGGUCCCUCGCGGAUGGAGCUGAAAUCAGUCGAAGAUACCAGCUGGCUGCAACUGUUUAUUAAAAACACAGCACUGUGCAAACACGAAAGUGGACGUAUACGGUGUGACGCCUGCCCGGUGCCGGAAGGUUAAUUGAUGGGGU
This 1864-nucleotide ribosomal RNA is filed under the name Escherichia coli. Its description in RNAcentral is "partial 23S ribosomal RNA". It matches the Rfam family "Bacterial large subunit ribosomal RNA", at positions 1 to 1890 of the family's 2925-position model. The record is from RNAcentral. Lineage: Bacteria; Pseudomonadati; Pseudomonadota; Gammaproteobacteria; Enterobacterales; Enterobacteriaceae.